UCCUGGUUAACCCAGGCAGUCUCACUAGAGUUCCCACCCUAAGUGUUGGCAACUAGUGAUAAGGGUUGCGCUCGUUGCGGGACUUAACCCAACACCUCACGGCACGAGCUGACGACAGCCAUGCAGCACCUGUAUCCCUGUCCUUUCGGAAGACGACAUUUCUGCCGCUGUCAAGGAUAUGUCAAGUCUGGGUAAGGUUCUUCGCGUUGCAUCGAAUUAAACCACAUGCUCCACUGCUUGUGCGGGCCCCCGUCAAUUCUUUUGAGUUUCAUCCUUGCGAAUGUACUCCUCAGGCGGUACACUUAUCGCGUUAGCUUCGACACAGCUGGGGUUGAGACCAGCUACAUCAAGUGUACAUCGUUUACAGCAAGGACUAC
Molecule: unclassified non-coding RNA, 377 nt
Filed under: uncultured Chlamydiaceae bacterium
Lineage: Bacteria; Pseudomonadati; Chlamydiota; Chlamydiia; Chlamydiales; Chlamydiaceae
Description: contains 16S-23S intergenic spacer region
Source: RNAcentral